This 465-nucleotide ribosomal RNA is filed under the name uncultured bacterium. RNAcentral's name for it is "partial 16S ribosomal RNA". It matches the Rfam family "Bacterial small subunit ribosomal RNA", at positions 28 to 507 of the family's 1533-position model. The record is from RNAcentral.
GACGAACGCUGGCGGCGUGCUUAACACAUGCAAGUCGUACGGUAAGGCCCUUUCGGGGGUACACGAGUGGCGAACGGGUGAGUAACACGUGAGUAACCUGCCCACAACUUUGGGAUAACGCUAGGAAACUGGUGCUAAUACUGGAUAUGUGCCCCUGCUGCAUGGUGGGGGUUGGAAAGCUCCGGCGGUUGUGGAUGGACUCGCGGCCUAUCAGCUUGUUGGUGGGGUAGUGGCCUACCAAGGCGGCGACGGGUAGCCGGCCUGAGAGGGUGACCGGCCACAUUGGGACUGAGAUACGGCCCAGACUCCUACGGGAGGCAGCAGUGGGGAAUAUUGCACAAUGGGCGCAAGCCUGAUGCAGCAACGCCGCGUGCGGGAUGACGGCCUUCGGGUUAUAAACCGCUUUCAGCAGGGACGAAGCUUUUUGUGACGGUACCUGCAGAAGAAGCACCGGCUAACUACGUG